AGUGAACGCUGGCGGUAGGCCUAACACAUGCAAGUCGAACGGCAGCACAGUAAGAGCUUGCUCUUACGGGUGGCGAGUGGCGGACGGGUGAGGAAUACAUCGGAAUCUACUUUUUCGUGGGGGAUAACGUAGGGAAACUUACGCUAAUACCGCAUACGACCUACGGGUGAAAGCAGGGGAUCUUCGGACCUUGCGCGAUUGAAUGAGCCGAUGUCGGAUUAGCUAGUUGGCGGGGUAAAGGCCCACCAAGGCGACGAUCCGUAGCUGGUCUGAGAGGAUGAUCAGCCACACUAGAACUGAGAAACGGUCCAGACUCCUACGAGAGGCAGCAGUGGGGGAUAUUGGACAAUGAGCGCAAGCCUGAUCCAGCCAUACCGCGUGGGUGAAGAAGGCGUUCGGGUUGUAAAGCCGUUUUGUUGGGAAAGAAAAGCAGCAGGUUAAUACCCCGCUGUUCUGACGGUACCCAAAGAAUAAGCACCGGCUAACUUCGUG
This 492-nucleotide ribosomal RNA is filed under the name uncultured bacterium. Its description in RNAcentral is "partial 16S ribosomal RNA". It matches the Rfam family "Bacterial small subunit ribosomal RNA", at positions 29 to 507 of the family's 1533-position model. The record is from RNAcentral.